Molecule: ribosomal RNA, 433 nt
Filed under: uncultured bacterium
Lineage: Bacteria
Description: partial 16S ribosomal RNA
Rfam family: Bacterial small subunit ribosomal RNA
Source: RNAcentral
AACGAACGCUGGCGGCAUGCCUAACACAUGCAAGUCGAACGAGACCUUCGGGUCUAGUGGCGCACGGGUGCGUAACGCGUGGGAACCUGCCCUUAGGUUCGGAAUAACUCCCCGAAAGGGGUGCUAAUACCGGAUAAUGUCUUCGGACCAAAGAUUUAUCGCCUUUGGAUGGGCCCGCGUUGGAUUAGCUAGUUGGUAGGGUAACAGCCUACCAAGGCGACGAUCCAUAGCUGGUCUGAGAGGAUGAUCAGCCACACUGGGACUGAGACACGGCCCAGACUCCUACGGGAGGCAGCAGUGGGGAAUAUUGGACAAUGGGCGAAAGCCUGAUCCAGCAAUGCCGCGUGAGUGAUGAAGGCCUUAGGGUUGUAAAGCUCUUUUACCCGGGAUGAUAAUGGCAGUACCGGGAGAAUAAGCUCCGGCUAACUCCGUG